Molecule: long non-coding RNA, 3794 nt
Organism: Oreochromis niloticus (Nile tilapia)
Lineage: Eukaryota; Metazoa; Chordata; Actinopteri; Cichliformes; Cichlidae
Source: Ensembl
UUACACAGCUACAUUCACGCAUCAAAAUAUCUUAAAAGUUUAUUUUGUGACCCAGAAAGAGUAAUAUUACAACUAAGUAGCUGCCGCCAUUGUUGGAAUUCAACUUUUGCGAGAUCUCGCAAAAGUUUUGUGAGAUCCCGAGUUUGUUGAGAAGGGUCUGGCUGCAGCCACUGGGGAGCGCCAUAUUGGGACCUCCACACUAACCGGAAACACGUGACCUCCACAGUAGCCGGAAACACGUGACCUCCACAGUAACCGGAAACACGUGACCUCCACAAUCGGCAGAAAUACGUUCCUGCGUGCAUCAUCGACUGUGGAAACCUUGCAAGUGGAUCGUAAAGGUUGGGACAGAGUUUUUCAUGUAUAAAUUUGCCGUUAAUAAUUGUAUAAUUCUAGGAAUCAUCUAGUUUGCUUACACUGAUUAUGUUGGCACUUUGUUAGCGUUACAACAACUGUCAUACCCCCGAGGGAUCUAAACUUUAGUAAUGUGUGCACUUUUGACACAUCUGGUUAGCAUUUAGUGGUCAGUUUCAAACGUAUUUGAUUUUUGCUUGUUAUGAACAAAUUCACUUCACUACUUUUCACUGUCAGUAACAUCGAUGCACAUUGUUCCAUUUACUGCAUAUUGUGCUUUAUUCAUGUCUCUCAUUCCACCUGCAAAAACAUUGUAAAGUUUGUCACAAAGAGAUUUAUAUAUUUAUAAAUACUAAUAUUCUCUAUUCUAUGCUCUACUGCUUUUUUAUUGCCCAGAUUUUAGUUAGCCUUUGUUAAAUUGUCUUUUAUAUGUCAAUAUAUACGUAUGUCCCAAAUAAAAGUGUCUUGUAAAUUAUGUUUUUGUAAAGAAUUUUCUCCCAAAUCUCUCACAUGCUAACUGUAACGUGUUAUUUCUGCUAAAACCUGAACUUAAAUGUGUAUAUGGUGUUUAUUUGAUUUUCUAUUUGUUUUAGAUGCACAUAUCAAUUUGGAAUUCUGCCUCCAAGCCAGAAUUGCAGGAAUGCACCACGUGUUGCAGAAGACUCUUUCACUGCCCUCUGUGCCCCACUUUCAGCCCUACUGUCAGGGCAAAGAUUGAGGAGCAAAUAAAUGGACACAUUAAAAAUGCUUUGCCUUUCAAAGACAAAAUGAUAUGCCGGUGCACUUUCACUGCCCUGUCUAUAACAUGACAAUCAUACAGCGUGGGGAUAUGGCAAGGCAAAUAUUGUCAUGUCAGCGUUUAGGACUGCUCCCCACUGAACUCUCCGUGGAGCCCCGCCUCUCUCCCGCUGCACUCUCUGUGGAGCCACAUCUCCCUCUCCAUGUCUCCAGCAUCUAAACCGUUUUCUGAAUCUUUGGUAGAACAUUCAUGUGUUCUACCCUCUGUGCUAAAUGAAACUGUGGCUUGUGGAAAGUCCAUGGAAAUGAAACGCCCUCACUGUGGUCUUAGUCUUCUUACAAAAAAAACUUCAAGGCUCACAUGAUGAGGAGGCAUUCAAACAGAUCAAUAGAUGUUUGCCUGGCCUGUCAUCUGCAGUGUUUUUGUGUAGAGGGACUUCUUCCUCUUUGUUUUUCAGUUUGCAGAGGACAUGGAGCUCUUUUUAAAAGCAUGUGCUGCUGACGAGCAGGGACUAUGGGUCAAUGCGAUGUUUGACAUUUAAUGGACAGAUGAAGGCACUGUCUGUUUGUUUGUGUUUUUUAUGUGUUGUUUGUUUUUCAGUGUACAGAAUUCCAGUUAACCUUAUUAUAAAAUGUUGUUCAUUUGUUUCCAUGUCCAUACUAAUAGUAAAAAAUUUAAGUGUAAAUGUAACAGCAUGGUUUAUACUUGUAACUUCAAAGUAAAAAGCUUAUUGUUGAUAUUAACAUUAAUGUAUUACCCCGUAAUUAAUAAUAUUUUUAUACAUUUUACGCAUUAACCCUCUGGGCUCUAUCCUGUCCAUUUGUGGCCACUUCACUUCUUCUUUUUUGACUACUACACUGCAGUGGACCAAAAGAAUGACACAGGUUUGAUCUUAAGGAUCUAAUAGUUGUGUGUUUGUGCAUGACAUUGCAACGCAAAUAUGUAUUUGCAAGAUAGACUGGGAAUAAAUUAUGACGCAUCAAAUAUUACACAGGCUGCAGUGAAUUUUUGUUGAUACAGGUUAUUGACCUUUGUGUUUCCCAGUCAAACUUAGCUUUGACACACAUGCUAACACUUUUACUCUUGUGCAUUUCAUAACAAGACACCAUAGCCAAAAUAUUAACUCUAUCAAAAAAAUUAAAAGCUGCAGCUGCAGCACACACAGCAACAAACACUGUUAGUAAAUGUGUCCUGGAGUUUAUGCAGAUGCAAAAAGUGCUACUGCUGUAAGUAAGCCUAACAGCUUCCAGAUCACUUAUCUUUCUGGAAAGAUGGUAAGAAAGGCAUCACUGCUCAUCUCUACAAUCUCCCAGAUCUUGGAAUACAAUGCCUUUGUCCCAUGAAAAUCACUUCACAGUACUGGGAGUCCACUAAAACCUACAAAUGAAGAGUGAUCCUGGAAGAAAUAGGGUGUACACUAGUGACCUCAACAAUUGCAAGACAGCCUUGUCCCCGAUGCUUAUAUGAAAAAAUAAAAUAAAAUACGAAGAUUUAUGAAACCAUUAGGACUUUAUCACUGUUUUAUCUGAAAAGUUACUGGCUGACCUAACUGGCAUUUAAAGUGUAAAAAACAGAAUGUAGAUAAAAUUUUGGUUUUGCUGAAAAGAAGUGGUGCUAAUUUAAAGUGUCGGUUUAAAGUCGGUAAAGGUAGAUAAAUGUUUUAAUAAAUAUACAUUUUACAGCAUUUUGUGAACAUACACAAAAGUGGCCAUUUUUGGCAACGGACAAGCUGAGAGAGAGUUUUAUAGUUUUUACUCUCCUUGAACAAAAAUAAUAGUGCAUGAUAAUCAAUGUGGAUGUUAAUCAAUUAGAUGUCCCAGACUCUACUAUUAAUAAUAUUGUCAUUAUGUACUGUACAGCAGCGGUCCCCAACCUUUUUUGCACCCCGGACCAGUUUAAUGUCAGAAAAUAUUUUCACGGACCAGCCUUUAAGGUGUCGCGGAUAAAUACAACAAAAUAAAAUGAUACAAAGACAAAAACGGUGGUAUUUUGUAAAUAUAAUAAUAAACGCGAAUUCACUGUGUGAUUGUGUAACUUUAUUAGCAGGGUCCUCCUGAAAUGCACCAACAACACUGAGAAUAACAUCCUCCUCUCUGCUCUCUGGUCGCUAUGGUAACGCGUAAAUAGUUCUUUCAAAAUAAGACACACGACUACAACACGGGAAAAGACCCAGGGAACCCGACUUAACGAUUAAAAACCCUGAAAAUCAUACACUUCACACCCGAGCCUCAACUCUCGCGAAAGGUGCUGAUAAAUAAAUUCUAAGUGUUUUUUUUAACAAUCUGGGUUAAAAACACUUAGAAUCAAAUUUAUUUAUCAGCAGCAUCAAUAGUAACAAAAAUACAAUUUAGUUUUCGCUGUCAAAGUCGAUUUAACUGAAGUUACGUGUUUACGUUUACUGUGGAGGUCACGUGUUUCCGGGUACUGUGGAGGUCACGUGCUUCCGGUUACUGUGGAGGUCACGUGUUUCCGGUUACUGUGGAGGUCGCAAUAUGGCGCUCCCCAGUGGCUGCAGCCAGGUGCUCUUGAGUUUGUUUUGCGAGAUCUCGCAAAAGUUUUGUGAGAUCCCGAGUUUGUUUUGCGAGAUCUCGCAAAAGUUUUGCGAGAUCCCGAGUUAGUUUUGCGAGAUCUCGCUAAACAUCAUCUUAAGUUUUUUUUUCUCCCAUGUCACUUGCGGGGCUCCUUAGAAUAGAACCUCUGA